This 496-nucleotide ribosomal RNA is filed under the name uncultured bacterium. RNAcentral's name for it is "partial 16S ribosomal RNA". It matches the Rfam family "Bacterial small subunit ribosomal RNA", at positions 29 to 507 of the family's 1533-position model. The record is from RNAcentral.
AUGAACGCUGGCGGCGUGCCUCAUACAUGCAAGUCGAGCGAACAGACGAGGAGCUUGCUCCUCUGACGUUAGCGGCGGACGGGUGAGUAACACGUGGAUAACCUACCUAUAAGACUGGGAUAACUUCGGGAAACCGGAGCUAAUACCGGAUAACAUGUUGAACCGCAUGGUUCAACAGUGAAAGACGGUCUUGCUGUCACUUAUAGAUGGAUCCGCGCCGCAUUAGCUAGUUGGUAAGGUAACGGCUUACCAAGGCAACGAUGCGUAGCCGACCUGAGCGGGUGAUCGGCCACACUGGAACUGAGACACGGUCCAGACUCCUACGGGAGGCAGCAGUAGGGAAUCUUCCGCGAUGGGCGAAAGCCUGACGGAGCAACGCCGCGUGAGUGAAGAAGGUCUUCGGAUCGUAAAACUCUGUUAUUAGGGAAGAACAAAUGUGUAAGUAACUAUGCACGUCUUGACGGUACCUAAUCAGAAAGCCACGGCUAACUACGUG